GAUUCUCUCAUGCAGUUGUAUGCAGCUGCUGCAUUUUGGCUUUAAUAGGUGAGACAAGAAUAUGUCUCUUCCCGCCCCCGUGAAAUAUAGUUAUUACUUAUGACUGUUUAGCUAGCUCUAUGCUCUUAGAUUUUUUAGGCAAUUUAAUUCCCCUUCCAUAGAGUGUCAGAGCACUGAACAAUAGGCACUGAGUUUUAUUGGGCAGCUUCAUUUCUACAAUGCAGCAUCUCAGUUAAAUCAAGUACCAAUCAUCCAGUUAAUUCUUGUCAAUUGGGACUUAUGAAUUAUGAUAGUUUUAAAUCAUAAGGUAAGACCUAUUCUCAUUUCCAAGACUGGUGUAUUUGUACAGACAAACAUAAGUUUAGUCACAUUUAAUGUUUCAUGAACACGAAGACUUGUGUCGAUUUCAUGUACAACUCUGUUUGGCAUGCCAUUUUCCCUCUGUCGAUUUUGGGAACCAGAAAGCAAAUUGUUCUGCUACUUGCAUAGUUAGUAGAUACUAGAGAACAAUUGUUUAGUUUGCCUUAUGGCCGUCUGGGGCAGCUGCUCAAGCAAUUCCUGAGGAUCACUAUUUUCCUCUUCAAUUCUAAUAAUAUGUGUAUUUCUGCAAUUUGUUUAAUUUUUCUUUAUUUUAGUACUGCAGUUUUAGGGCAUGUUUUUAUUUUUGAACAUUGUCAUUCUAGAUAGUAAAUUUGCUUCUUGGUGGAUUAUUUAUUGGUGAGCGCUAGGGGUACAUUUUAGAUUGGAUUCUUUGUCAUUCCACAGUUUAGCUUAAGCGUGCUGACAAUUCUCAGUUAAGUUGUCAUAACAUUCAAGGUUCAGCUGACAUGCACACUACAACAUAUAUUUAGCUUAAAUUACCCCCUAUUUGUUGCUAUCAUGGGCUCAUGUGCACAACCACCACAGUACACAUUAUAUAAAUGAUGGUCAGUAUACUUGCUUUGUCUACAGCUGAUCUGAAUUUGUCUGCCUUUUAGUAUGUGUCUGUAAAGUUUUUGUUUCAUGUUUGUUUUUCUGCUUACCAGGAAGGGGAAGAUACAAUGUUUGCUUCCUUAUGAUUGUUGCCCAAAUUUCUCUAUUGUAAACACUACCCAACAGAAGGUUGGGUGUGCAGCGGCGCAAGACCUGCCUGCGGGUCGAUGUCCAUGCCGGAGUUGGACACGGCGCGCUGCGCACGUUGCACGGAGCGUGGAGGGCGGGCGGAUGUGUCCACGGCGGUGGGUUCCCGCAGGGGAACGCCGUAGGUGGCCGUGGGGUCUGGCUUGUAGGCCUUCGACGACCGGGACAAGCAGGAGGCCGCCUAGCUGUGGCCGUGCUGGGGGCCUGGGUUGCUGGCAGAACUGGCGUGGGUGGUCGCGAGGGCCGCCCUUGAUUUAGAGGACGAAGAGGCGUUCCUCUGGCUGCCGCCCGCGCCGACAUCCAUCUCCCGACGUGCACCGGCCGCCGAUUGAAGCGAUGGCCUUGAGACAACGGAACGGGUGCAUGCGAAUUGAGCUGAAUUGAGCGUAAACGGAGUGUACCGGACUCUUGGGCCAAAUUGAAUGGGCUGGACGAAAAAAACACUAGAAAUUUUACCUCUUUAUUAUUAGGUGUGUACAUAUAUACAUAGACAUAUUUGAAUAUGAUUUAGAAGAGCAGACCAAAAAAUGUCCAGACAAAAAAAAAGCUAAAAUUUUGCCUCUUUAUA
Molecule: long non-coding RNA, 1687 nt
Organism: Sorghum bicolor (sorghum)
Lineage: Eukaryota; Viridiplantae; Streptophyta; Magnoliopsida; Poales; Poaceae
Exons: 2
Source: RefSeq, a predicted model, not a curated record